CACGUAGGGGACGAGCGUUGUCCGGAUUCAUUGGGCGUAAAGCGCGCGUAGGCGGCUCGGAAAGUCGGUCGUGAAAUGCCGGGGCUCAACCCCGGGACUGCGUCCGAUACUCUCGAGCUGGAGGCAGGUAGGGGAGAUCGGAAUUCCUGGUGUAGCGGUGAAAUGCGCAGAUAUCAGGAGGAACACCGGUGGCGAAGGCGGGUCUCUGGGCCGAUACUGACGCUGAGGAGCGAAAGCGUGGGGAGCGAACAGG
Molecule: ribosomal RNA, 253 nt
Filed under: uncultured bacterium
Lineage: Bacteria
Description: partial 16S ribosomal RNA
Rfam family: Bacterial small subunit ribosomal RNA
Source: RNAcentral